CAGAUGCACAUAAGAUAGCUGGGCCAUUAGUGUUGCUGCAGUUUUGGGUGUGGGAGCAUUUAUACAUCGGAUAGCCAGAUAGAGUACUCCCCAAUGUAGAAGCCCAUUAGUCGGCGAUGGGAGGUGAUGUAGUAGAACAUAGCCUGUUAGAUGAGAAUGAUGCUGAUUUCGAGGGCUCAUUUGGCGGUAUACAAUAUGACCAGACUGAUCCACUGGAAUGUAGGUAUGUAAUCAAUAUCA
This 240-nucleotide long non-coding RNA is filed under the name Elaeis guineensis (African oil palm). RNAcentral's name for it is "long non-coding RNA (EGUI_LNC064575)". Lineage: Eukaryota; Viridiplantae; Streptophyta; Magnoliopsida; Arecales; Arecaceae. The record is from RNAcentral.